This 263-nucleotide ribosomal RNA is filed under the name uncultured bacterium. RNAcentral's name for it is "partial 16S ribosomal RNA". It matches the Rfam family "Bacterial small subunit ribosomal RNA", at positions 793 to 1055 of the family's 1533-position model. The record is from RNAcentral.
GUCCACGCCGUAAACGAUGGGUGCUAGGUGUGGGGGGUGUCGACUCCCUCCGUGCCGAAGCUAACGCAUUAAGCACCCCGCCUGGGGAGUACGGCCGCAAGGCUAAAACUCAAAGGAAUUGACGGGGGCCCGCACAAGCAGCGGAGCAUGUGGUUUAAUUGGACGCGACGCCAAGAACCUUACCAAGGCUUGACAUGGUCGAGAAAAACGUGGAAACACGUUCCUCCUUCGGGACUCGAUCACAGGUGGUGCAUGGCUGUCGU